GCUGGGCAUGGUGACACAUGCCUGUAAUCCCAGCUACUUGGGAGGCUGAGGCAGGAGAAUUGCUUGAGCCCAGGAGGUGGAGGUUGCAGUGAGCUGAUAUCAUACCACUGCACUCCAGCCUGGCCAACAGAGCUAGACUCUGUCUCAA
This is a non-coding RNA of Pan troglodytes (chimpanzee), 148 nucleotides long. It matches the Rfam family "Metazoan signal recognition particle RNA". From Rfam's summary of the family: The signal recognition particle (SRP) is a universally conserved ribonucleoprotein. The record is from Rfam. Lineage: Eukaryota; Metazoa; Chordata; Mammalia; Primates; Hominidae.